AUGGAGGAGGCGAAGAAGGGGGGGAUCUUCGAGGGGAACACCAAGUCGAGCUCCAUGGAGGGGGCGGAGAAGGGGGAGAUCUGCGAGAGGAACACUAAGCCGAGGCUGGACGACCAUCCGCAGGUGACAGCGGCGGGGGCGGCCAGUCUGUUCAACGUCGACCUCAUCCUGGAGAUCCUCUCCCGCCUCCCAGCCAGAUCCGUCCACCGCUUCAAGUGCGUAUCAGUGCUCUGGCGCGACCUCAUCGCCGACCCCGCCAACCACAAGAAGCUGCCCCAGACCCUUGCCGGCUUCCUCUACACAUCCUUCUACAACAACGGAUAUCGCCACCACUUCGCCAGUUUCUCCGGCGGCGCAGCCUCCUUCGACCCCUCCCUCCCUUACCUACAUCCUAACUAG
This 399-nucleotide ribosomal RNA is filed under the name Triticum aestivum (bread wheat). RNAcentral's name for it is "partial small subunit ribosomal RNA". The record is from RNAcentral. Lineage: Eukaryota; Viridiplantae; Streptophyta; Magnoliopsida; Poales; Poaceae.